Long non-coding RNA from Ipomoea nil (Japanese morning glory), 511 nucleotides. RefSeq lists it as uncharacterized. The record is from RefSeq and is a predicted model, not a curated record. NCBI's taxonomy places the organism in Eukaryota, Viridiplantae, Streptophyta, Magnoliopsida, Solanales, Convolvulaceae. The transcript has 2 exons.
CAUCUUUGAGCACCACCACCAUACGAAAGUUAAUCUGGGAAGAGAAGAGAAGAAAUAGCGUUGGCAGGUCUUCAUCUUUAGUCAACCAAAACAUCAUUUCCGAUCAUCUAUUUUUGUUGUGUUCUCUCCCUUAUAUCUCAACGAAAAGAUCAGAACAUAGAUUUUCAAAUAUGACCAGAGCAUAUCGUUCUGCAUUUUCUUUAUUUGCAAAAGACAUUGAUUCGGGCACGGGUAAACCUAACAUCAAUAGAUAUCGACCCCAACUACGAGUGUAAUAAGAUAAAAAAGUAUUACAGAGUCUUUGAUCUACAUGUGCAUACACAAGUUUUCUUCCAUGGAUGGUUAUUGUCUGAUACAACUGUCGCUGACAAAACAGAGGAAUGAGUCUUAGAACUAUUUCAAAAUCAUCGAAUAGAUCCAAUAUAAAUGUUAUAAAUUGACUAUGGAUAAGUCAAAUGCAAGGACAAGAAGGCACAAUUGGGGCGUUUGAAAGAUAAAAAGAUUAAACACC